UACGGAGGGUGCAAGCGUUAUCCGGAUUCACUGGGUUUAAAGGGUGCGUAGGAGGGCAGGUAAGUCAGUGGUGAAAUCUCCGGGCUUAACUCGGAACGGUCAAGUGAUACUGUCGUGCUAGAGUCCGGUAGGGGAGCAUGGAAUUCCUGGUGUAGCGGUGAAAUGCGCAGAUAUCAGGAGGAACACCAGUGGCGAAGGCGGUGCUCUGGGCCGGAACUGACGCUGAGGAGCGAAAGCGUGGGGAGCAAACAGG
This 253-nucleotide ribosomal RNA is filed under the name uncultured bacterium. RNAcentral's name for it is "partial 16S ribosomal RNA". It matches the Rfam family "Bacterial small subunit ribosomal RNA", at positions 524 to 776 of the family's 1533-position model. The record is from RNAcentral.